RNAcentral lists this long non-coding RNA (435 nucleotides) under Brassica napus (rape). Its description in RNAcentral is "long non-coding RNA (BNAP_LNC021383)". The record is from RNAcentral. Lineage: Eukaryota; Viridiplantae; Streptophyta; Magnoliopsida; Brassicales; Brassicaceae.
UAUAAACAAUAAAUUCCAAAUAUUUAAGCAUAAUAUAAAUUCUUAAGCAUUAGAAAAGUGAACAAUCUUGUUGUAAAAAAUUGUACCUGAAAAGUGAAAACACAUACAUAGCAAAAGUUCAAACUGAAAAGUAUCAUUUCAAGCUUCAACAUAAUCUUUUGGAGAACAUAUUUGCAUAUUAUGAUAUGUAAAACCUGCUAUUUUUGUCCUGGAAAAACAGAAACCAAAUAAGAAACUAAAUCAGUCACUAAUUUCAGUGGAAUUCAAACGUUCAUGAAGACUGAUCUCAUUAAGUUACAAAAUAUUGAGAAUUUCUAUUCUAGUUGAUGAAGGAAACACAGAAAUAAAUUCUGUUCAGCAAGUUUAUUUGAGAAAUUACUUUCAUGCAAUUGCACUUCUCAUUUGUUUUCUUUCAUUACCCACUAUAAUCACACG